AUAUUGCUCAUUGCUUAUUGCUUGUUACUUGUCAAAGUCCAAAGGAAAAUGGGUUUCUAUAUGACAUUCUUGUCUGUUGGAUUGCAUCCCAUUGGUCAGAUCUUUUUAACUCUUAACUUUUAAUUUGUGCUUAGGAUAGCCUCUUCAUCUCCUCCCACUUCUUAAAUUUAAAAAUCUCUUCCUCUUUUAAAAAUCCUCUCUUUGCUU
Molecule: long non-coding RNA, 207 nt
Filed under: Lathyrus oleraceus (garden pea)
Lineage: Eukaryota; Viridiplantae; Streptophyta; Magnoliopsida; Fabales; Fabaceae
Description: Pisum sativum (pea) long non-coding RNA (PSAT_LNC038452)
Source: RNAcentral